RNAcentral lists this long non-coding RNA (1858 nucleotides) under Homo sapiens (human). RNAcentral's name for it is "HSALNT0375392". Lineage: Eukaryota; Metazoa; Chordata; Mammalia; Primates; Hominidae. The record is from RNAcentral.
CGGUUUCUUUCCGGCCGCGCUGGCUCCGUGGCUGAGGAGGCGGUUUCUUUCGGGUUCUGCCGGCUCCGUGGCUGAGGAGGCGGUUUCUUUCCGGCCGCGCCGGCUCCGUGGCUGAGGAGGCGGUUUCUUUUGGGUUCUGCCGGCUCCGUGGCUGAGGAGGCGGUUUCUUUCCGGCCGCGCCGGCUCCAUGGCUGAGGAGGCGGUUUCUUUCCGGCCGCGCCGGCUCCAUGGCUGAGGAGGCGGUUUCUUUCCGGCCGCGCCGGCUCCAUGGCUGAGGAGGCGGUUUCUUUCGGGUUCUGCCGGCUCCGUGGCUGAGGAGGCGGUUUCUUUCUGGUUCUGCCGGCUCCGUGGCUGAGGAGGCGGUUUCUUUCGGGUUCUGCCGGCUCCGUGGCUGAGGAGGCGGUUUCUUUCCGGCCGCGCCGGCUCCAUGGCUGAGGAGGCGGUUUCUUUCCGGCCGCGCCGGCUCUGUGGCCGAGGAGGUGGUUUCUUUCCCGUUGUGCCGGCUCCGUGGCUGAGGAGGCGGUUUCUUUAAGGUCUUUUCUGUGCUGAUGUUUUAGCUUUACUGAGAUUUUGUUGCUUAUCACACAAUUCACCAUUGAAGUGUCCUGGGCUGAUCUGAUGCCGAUGGCCUCCGAGUCAAAUGCUCUCUAAAGGAAAUUCUCAGAAGAUCUCCGGGGAAAAGCACACAUAAUUUAUAGAAUUAGAAAGCAAAGGAUUUGUAAGACAUCACAAGGAAUUCAGUUACCAGUUAGGACUGGUCACCUCCAAACUUAAGUACAAAGAACUUAUUUACUUCUUCCAAGGAAAUUUAUUUGGGGGAUUUUUUAUGUGGCCAUGAUGAUGCUGUCAGUGGCCGAAGCUGCAUUCUGGCAACUCCAGAUCCUGGGUGACUUUGCCUAGCUCUGCCCGGCCUGGUGUUGCAGGAAAUACGCUAAUUCCAGGCACGGAAGCUGGGAGUGCAUCCGGUCUGGGGAGACUUUGCCUUUCUAAGAGGCUCUCAGUGCUGUUGAUGGUGCACAUUCGACCUUUGAGACUUGGAGAAAUCAGAUUGCAGAAAUGAUGCAGAGCACCUGAGCAGAACCAAUCUGGCGUGAGACACACACGCACACACACACACAAUCAGGCGCACCCACCCACACAUAUACACACACAGGUACACAGUCGUGCACCCAUCCACAUACGUGCAGUCAUGCACACAGCCCUGCACACAGACCUACACAUACACAUGCGUGCACACAGACAUGCACACACACAGUAGGGGCCCUAAGCAGGCGUCCUUAGCCUUUCUGCUCUGAGCUCUGCAGCAUCAGAACCUGCUGCCAUAACUGAGCCAAGUGAACUCCUGAAGCAGGAGCAUCCCCGGGCGUGGCAGGGGAGCGCCCACCACCAAGAUUCUGCUGCUGUGCUCGGGGGCAGUUGUGCCUUUUCUGUUUUUCUUUCUUUCUAUAUUUCCAGGAAAUCAUGACAUUAAAAAUGACUUUUUCUUAUGACGAAUAUUCAUUGUAGGAUAUUUAGUGAAAAUUCACACAAUAAAAACUGUGAUUCGUUUGUGCUCUCCGAGUUUCUGGGUUUCCUUGCAUUUUUCUGGCAGCUUCUAUUCUCUCUGGGUGCUUCCGAUGCACACAUCGCAGAUCCCAGGAUGAUCUUCCUGCCUGGCACGGCUGCCUCCUCCACGCCACCCCUCAUUACCUGUGGUCUAGGAAGACCACCAGUUCCCAUUCCAAGCUGCCCAAAUAGCUGCGAAAUAUCUGCUGAAGUAAGAGGAAAAGGAGAGGCUCUUCCUUCUUCCUUUGAAUUUUGUCACCGGGCUGCUGAAGAGAAGGCAGCAGAGGUGACACAGCGUGAAGCUGAGGCUGGG